RNAcentral lists this long non-coding RNA (842 nucleotides) under Marmota monax (woodchuck). Lineage: Eukaryota; Metazoa; Chordata; Mammalia; Rodentia; Sciuridae. The record is from RNAcentral.
AGUUGGCUUACUGCCUAACAGUUUAGCCAUGAAGCUGUGCUGUUUUCAGUACUUCUAAUGGGUCCUGCCUCUUCACUUGUGCUUGUUGUAAAAGUCCUGGGGGUCUGGACAGUGAUGGACUAGUGACAUAGGAGCUUGUCUUUGAUUUCAUGUGAAGAAAACAUUCCCCUAGUAAUGAAUGGAUUCUUUCACACUACAAGAGUUUUAGGGACUGAGAAAAACACUGCCUUAACGGUGCCCUCUAAUUUCUACUUUAUUGCCUUGGAGGGUGCACUGUGUCAGAUUUUUAUUCUUAAAUACUAAAUGCCUUUGCUGUCUUUGAGGGUAAAGGUAGAGACUUGUUGGGCCCAUGAAAGCUCUUGUCAUGGUGGCUGUUGUCAUGGAAGAGGAGGAUGAACCUUGAAAUCUAUGGCUCUCUAGUAAAUCCCUGCCUCUGUUCUAUGUUGCUGAACUUUGUGAUCUUGAGGACAGAAGUAAAAAAGUUAAUCAGCCAACAAGGGAGUUAUAUUUAGAAAUCUCUCAUCAGCUUGUUGCUUUCUGAGUAUCCUGCUGAUACUGGGAGAGUGAGGCUAGAAGACCAGGCCACAUGGUAGUAGCUUUGUGAAGUGGGUAGGGGUGAAGAGUGGGCCACUUGUUUGUGGAGCAGCUGUCCUGGCAUUCAGAUGCUUGCAGCUCUGUUCUGGGACAGUUCUAUUGGAUUCUGUCAGGUUGCACUGUAGCCUUUCUGGGUUAUUUGAAUAUCAUUCAGUUUAUUAUCUACUGCACAGAGUUGUAAAUCUCACGCAGUGGCUUUCCCGGGGCUUUGCCUCUUUCAUAGCCUUUGAGACAGGCCAUGGCAGUAG